AUUAGGCCUAACCGGUAGCAGAUAACAUUAGUAAGUUUGGAUCAAGAACCUUGUUGCUAGCACUUUCCCACGUCUGAGCCUGAAGACCUUGAGUUCUGGAGGUCACCUUUCUCACACUUUUCCAGAAUGACGUCAUGACAUCACGCGAUCUUGUGUUUGCCAUAUUAGACAGAGUGUGCAGUGGAGAGAGAGAGAA
Long non-coding RNA from Limulus polyphemus (Atlantic horseshoe crab), 196 nucleotides. RefSeq lists it as uncharacterized. NCBI's taxonomy places the organism in Eukaryota, Metazoa, Arthropoda, Merostomata, Xiphosura, Limulidae. The record is from RefSeq and is a predicted model, not a curated record. The transcript is spliced from 2 exons.